Long non-coding RNA from Neltuma alba, 486 nucleotides. RefSeq lists it as uncharacterized. The transcript is spliced from 3 exons. Lineage: Eukaryota; Viridiplantae; Streptophyta; Magnoliopsida; Fabales; Fabaceae. The record is from RefSeq and is a predicted model, not a curated record.
ACCGGGUUACUGUGUAACCCGGUGUGACCCGGCUUGAACCGGGGUGACUCGGACUGAACCGGGGUGACCCGUCCGGUUUGGUGGAUCAACCCGGUCUUCUCUUUUUUUUUAAAAAAAAAAUAUUUUGAUGAUUUUUUUAAAAAAGCUGUUGAUAAUUAGGACUUAGUGAUUGAGUAAUUAUAAGAAAAAAUAUUUUAUUAUCAUAUAUCCAUUUUGAUAUUUUGUUGGGAUGAAUAUUUAGUGAUUUUAGUAGUAUGAUAUUAUAAGAAACUGUGAGAAUGUAAUUAUUUUACUAGUAAUUCAAGAUAUUAAAUUGAUAUCUAAUUCUUAGUGAAUAUUUAAAUUAUUUUUUAUUUUUUUAUUUCUUACCGGUUUAACCCCCGGUUUAACUCCGGUCUGACCCAGUGACCCUUGACCCAUCACCUUGACCGGUUCAAUUGCCGGUCCGGUUUUCAGUACCUUGGUUUCUUCAGAGCAUCCUUUCUA